CGCGGCCUAUCAGCUUGUUGGUGGGGUAGUGGCUUACCAAGGCGGCGACGGGUAGCCGGCCUGAGAGGAUGACCGGCCACAUUGGGACUGAGAUACGGCCCAGACUCCUACGGGAGGCAGCAGUGGGGAAUAUUGCGCAAUGGGCGCAAGCCUGAUGCAGCCACGCCGCGUGCGGGAUGACGGCCUUCGGGUUGUAAACCGCUUUCAGCAGGGACGAAACUUUUUGUGUCGGUUCCUGCGGAAAAAUCACCGGCUAUCUACAUGCCACCCCCCGUAGUGAUGCGUAAGGUGCGAGCGUUGUCCGGAUUUAUUGAACGUAAAUGGCUCUUACUGGGUUGAUCGCGCGUGAAGUGGAAACUUGAUGCUUAACGUUAAACGUGCUUUCUCUACCUGUUGACUUGAGGAAAACUGCUUGAAUGGAAUUCCUGGUGGAGGGGUGGAAUGCCGGAUAUCAGGAGGAACACCAGUGGUCAAGGCGGUUCUCUGGACCUUUCCUGACCCUGAGGACCUUAACUGUGGGGAGCGAACAGGCUUAUAUACCCUGGUAGUCCUUACUGACCACGGUGGGUACUAGGUGUGGGGACCAUUCCACGGAUUCUGUGAUGUAGCUCUCUGCUGUGUACCCCGCCUGCGGAGUACGGAAUCUCUGGAGGAUCCGGGGUCACCGAAGUAUAC
Molecule: ribosomal RNA, 675 nt
Filed under: uncultured bacterium
Lineage: Bacteria
Description: bacterial SSU rRNA
Rfam family: Bacterial small subunit ribosomal RNA
Source: RNAcentral